RNAcentral lists this ribosomal RNA (1868 nucleotides) under activated sludge metagenome. RNAcentral describes it as "bacterial LSU rRNA". It matches the Rfam family "Bacterial large subunit ribosomal RNA", at positions 263 to 1982 of the family's 2925-position model. The record is from RNAcentral.
AUGAGCCUAAACUCAUAGUGUGAUAUAGCCUGGCGGCGAUGCAUUAUGGGGGUUGUGGGACUCAAUAGAACUAGCGCCUGAUAGUUCACGAAGUUACAAAAGUUAUAUAUAACAGAAGAAGUCUGGAAAGCUUCACCGCAGAGGGUAAUAGUCCCGUAUGUGAAAUGUAUAACCCUUCGAUUGAUGUUCCCGAGUAUCACGGGAUCCGAGAAAGCCCGUGUGAAUCUGUGAGGACCACCUCAUAAGGCUAAAUACAAUCUAGUGACCGAUAGUGUACAAGUACCGUGAGGGAAAGGUGAAAAGAACCCCGAGAGGGGAGUGAAAUAGAACCUGAAACCAUUGGUUUACAAUCCGUUAAAGAGUCGGAUAAGAAUUUAUUCUUAUCUCUCAAUAGCGUGCCUUUUGAAGAAUGAGCCAGCGAGUUACCGUUUGUGGCAAGGUUAACCCGAGAGGGGAAGCCGAAGCGAAAGCGAGUCUGAAUAGGGCGUACUAGUCGCAGGCGGUAGACCCGAAGCCGGGUGAUCUAUCCAUGAGCAGGGUGAAGCGGAGGUAAGACUUCGUGGAGGCCCGAACCCACCCUAGUUGAAAAUAGGGGGGAUGACUUGUGGAUAGGGGUGAAAGGCCAAUCAAACCCGGUGAUAGCUGGUUCUCCCCGAAAUGCAUUUAGGUGCAGCGUCGUGAGUUCAGUAUCGGAGGUAGAGCUACUGGAUGGUUUAGGGGGCCUACAAGCUUACCAAAAUCAGCCAAACUCCGAAUGCCGAUACUCCAGAUCACGGCAGUGAGACUAUGGGGGCUAAGCUUCAUAGUCGAGAGGGAAACAGCCCAGAGCGCCAACUAAGGUCCCAAAUUUAUACUCAGUGGUAAACGAUGUGGGAAUGCCUAGACAGCCAGGAGGUUGGCUUAGAAGCAGCCAUCCUUGAAAGAGUGCGUAAUAGCUCACUGGUCGAGUGUUCCUGCGCGGACAAUGUAACGGGGCUCAAGUAUAAAACCGAAGUUGCGUCAUUAGGAUAAUUUAUUAUUACUGAUGGGUAGGGGAGCGUCGAGUUCGACUGUGAAGCCAGAUGAUAACGUCUGGUGGAGUGGACUCGAGUGAGAAUGCUGGCAUGAGUAGCGAACGAAGGGGGAGGAACCCUUCCUCCGAAUAUCCAAGGGUUCCUGGGCAAGGCUCAUCCGCCCAGGGUUAGUCGGGAGCUAAGGCGAGGCCGAAAGGCGUAGUCGAUGCACAACUGGUUGAUAUUCCAGUACCACCAUAUUCGCGCCCAGCCUAAGCUAAUUUGCUAAGUGGCUGUUAAUUUAUUAACGAAACGACCCAAUUAGUGCAUGGUAAUUGUAGGGGGACGCAGGAAGGUAGAUCUGACAGGUGAUGGUUAUCCUGGAAGUAAGUAAGUAGGGAGUGUGAUAGGAAAAUCCGUUGCACAUUAAUCCUGAGAUACGACACGUAGCCGAUUUAGGCGAUUUGAUUGAUCCUAUGCUGCCUAGAAAAGCCUAGCAAUGAGUUAAUAUGGUGCCCGUACCCCAAACCGACACAGGUAGAUAAGUAGAGAAUACUAAGGAGAGCGAGAUAACUCCGGUUAAGGAACUCGGCAAAAUGCCCCCGUAACUUCGGGAUAAGGGGGGCCUCAGUAAAGUGAUUGUCUUCGCGACAUGAGCUUGAGGAGGCCGCAGUGACUAGAGCCAAGCGACUGUUUACCAAAAACACAGGUGCAUGCGAAGCCGUAAGGCGAUGUAUAUGCACUGACGCCUGCCCAAUGCUGGAAGGUCACGGAGAGAGGUUAGCGCUUGUCGCGAAGCUUCGAACUUAAGCCCCAGUGAAUGGCGGCCGUAACUAUAACGGUCCUAAGGUAGCGAAAUUCCUUGUCGGGUAAGUU